AGGUAUUUCAUGCUUGAAGUGCACUAUCUAAAGGGGAACCCAGUGCAAAGAGGUACCAUUGCCACCUCAGAGAGAGAGAUAUUGAGCAUUUCCGAUUUUGCAUUAGUAACCUGUAAAUUGGAGAGCUGUCCAUGCACUAAAUUCAGAUAAAUUUGCUGGAGACCACAAAGAUAAGGUUGUCUGUGUAGGCUAUGACAAUGUGAUGUUUUGGACAGAAAUCUCUGGAUGCCUGUGUUGGCCCUUAUGGUUUUCGUCACAAGUUCCAGAGUGAGCGCAAACAGUAGAGGGGAUAGUGAGGCAUUCCUGUUGCGUCCCAUUAUGAUUAGGGAAGGGUAUGAGAGGGCUUGUAUUCCCUACAUGAACUAGGUUCCCGGCCCCAGUGUUAGAAAGACGUUCCAG
This is a non-coding RNA of Pelobates cultripes (western spadefoot toad), 399 nucleotides long. Lineage: Eukaryota; Metazoa; Chordata; Amphibia; Anura; Pelobatidae. The record is from the annotation of a GenBank genome assembly.